AUACGUAGGGGGCGAGCGUUGUCCGGAAUGAUUGGGCGUAAAGGGCGCGUAGGCGGCCCGGUAAGUCUGGGGUGAAAGUCCUGUUUUUAAGAUGGGAAUUGCUUUGGAUACUGUCGGGCUUGAGUGCAGGAGAGGUAAGUGGAAUUCCCAGUGUAGCGGUGAAAUGCGUAGAGAUUGGGAGGAACACCAGUGGCGAAGGCGACUUACUGGACUGUAACUGACGCUGAGGCGCGAAAGUGUGGGGAGCAAACAGGAUUAGAUACCCUGGUAGUCCACACUGUAAACGAUGAAUGCUAGGUGUAGGGGGUAUCGACCCCUUCUGUGCCGCAGUCAACACAAUAAGCAUUCCGCCUGGGGAGUACGGCCGCAAGGUUGAAACUCAAAUGAAUUGGCGGGG
This 397-nucleotide ribosomal RNA is filed under the name uncultured bacterium. RNAcentral describes it as "partial 16S ribosomal RNA". It matches the Rfam family "Bacterial small subunit ribosomal RNA", at positions 523 to 918 of the family's 1533-position model. The record is from RNAcentral.